GAGAAAAAGAACCAAACUGAUAAUUAAAGUUUAAUAAAAAGUCAAAUUAUAUAAAUUUAAGGUGUAUGUGAAUCUCUUAAACAUUUUUGAAUCUAACAGUCUGGGAUCUCAUACUUUUCACCUUGAAUCUUGAAAUAUCUUUUCAAGGUCCCUAAUCAAUUGACUUCAAAAUCAAUAGAUCAUCAAGAUUAUCCUGAAUGGGCCUGGCUUAAUCAGGUGAGAAUCUUAAAAGCUGGUCUGGACCCUCCCCGAAGUGAGAAACUCUCUUCCUUGUUGGCUUUGAAUAAAUAAGCUGUCACAAAAUAGUGGUCAUGUGGAGAAGCCCAUGUAGCAAAGCACUGUGAGUGACUCCUUUGGAGCCGAGGGUGGCCUUCAGCAAGAAACUAAAACCCUCAGUUCGAUACUGCAAGGAACAGAAUUCUGCUGACAGUAUGAGGGAGCUUGGAAGUGGAACUCUCCCCAGUCGAGCCUCUGAUGACCCAGUGGAUGCUUGGAUUGCAACUCGGUGAGGCCUGAAAGCAGAGAGCUCAACUCAGUUCGCUUCUGACCUGCAGAAACUGUGAGGAUAAUUAUGGAAACAUGAAAAACAGCUUCCACUGCUAAGUAAAACCCAACUUCCGUUUUUCAGAAUUAGAAGUUUUGUUGUAAAAAUUUUUAACCCAAUGAACAUAUUUGCUUUAGAUUUAUGAGUUAAGAUAGUUUCCAAACCUGAAGGCACAACUGAGGAUAAAAGUAAAUGGAAGGGGACAUUAAGGAGUCAGUGGUCAUAGGAAAGAAAGCACACCGAACAGUGUCAUCAGUAAACUACUCUAACCCCAGGACACUAACACCCUUGGAAAAAGUGCAUGGCCAAUAAUGCUUUUAUGGGUAUACUUAAUAAUUUUCUCCCAUGAUAAAAAUUAAAACCAAAGUGUUUCAUGGAGUCAUUCUGAGAUAAUCUUUGAAAUAUUAUCAAAAAGGAACUGGUCUAUUUUAUACUUCAGGGAGGGGAAAAUGUUCACAUUUUAGAUAGCAUUCUGUGAUUAUUUUUAAUGGGAAAAUAAAAUAUAGGUGACUUUUCCAGGAAUCAAUAUCCUCUUUUCUCCAUUCUUGGUGUUUUGCAGGCUGAUUAAUUUGCAGCGGUUGAGUUUGAUUGCCACUGAAGCAGAAAGCAUUAUAGAUUCUCUGUUAUUCUUCAAGCCACUUGGCUAAAGUCUACAGUUCUGUCUCUGUGUAUUUAUCUACCUUUCCACAUGGCGCUUAGCACCGGAGCUUUGGGCCUCUCCUAAACAUAUUGUGAAAAUCUUUUGUGCUGAAUUCUCAAGUCUUGCUGUGAAUAGGAGAUAGAAACUUGAAAGUUUUCAGCAUCUGUAAAGUGAAAGAAAGCAACAGAAGGCAUAGCACUGUUUGGAUUUGUUGCUCUAGAAAAAGCUGAAGAUGAAUGAUCUGUAAAUAUUUCUGCUUUUAGUGCUUUUAACCAGCUCUGUUCUUAUCUGCUGCUUGGCUCUCCUUUUAGUAUGAGUUUUUCUUAUCCUUUUUAUAGCCACAUUAUGGUUUUUUAAUGGAGAUAUUGAAUGAUCCAAAUUAUUAAGUAAAUUGAUGGCAGGAAAAAAAGUUAAAUGAAUGGUUUACAUUUCUUGGAAAGCAAAUGCUAAAAUCAGGAGUAUCACCUGCUCUUUUCUUGAUGUAAUUAUUAUUAUUUUUGACUGAAUAUGGAAGUGGUCAUUGCAAAUGAUAAAUAAACUUUAUUAGAGGAGGUGAUUCAAACUUGUGAAGAUGAAAAAGUACAAUAUCAUCACUUAAAAAAUGAAAUAUAAUCCUGGAGAAUAUACUCUACAUGUAGUGUAUGGAUUUCUCCCCUUUUCCAUUUCUGUCAUUUUGCUUAUAAUAGUCUCUCUGGCAGAAAGUAGAGAGAAAAAAGUUGGUCAGUUUAUUGAUUCCUAUUAAUAUGGCAGCUUUUCUAUAAUUGUUACCUUGAACUCUGCUCAAAU
Molecule: long non-coding RNA, 1970 nt
Organism: Bubalus bubalis (water buffalo)
Lineage: Eukaryota; Metazoa; Chordata; Mammalia; Artiodactyla; Bovidae
Exons: 4
Source: RefSeq, a predicted model, not a curated record